UCAUGAGGGGACAGCUCACCAUAAUGCUGUGUUGAAAUGGCAUCUACCUUCAAAAUACCUGGAGAGAGUGCAGAUAAUCAAUUGGAGAAUGGCAGAGAUGUGGGACUUCCUCCCGCUGACAAAGCACUGCAGAAGAGGUUCUUUGAGGAAUGGUCAACCUGAACAGAGGAAUGUUUCUGAUAGUGAGUGAGAAUUUGUACAGCUUCUUGACAAAGACAAGAUUCCAAAAAACUCAAGAGAGGAUCAAACUGCCCAAACUUCAAAACACAUGCAUUCAGAUAUGUGUACAAAUUCCACAAGACUGGGUCAUGAAAAAUCUCUUAUCAUCUCCUCCGAUGGACAGAUACAAGGGACAAAAAAACCUGCAAGUGCAAAUCAAAUAAAUAAUCAUCAAAAGAUGGGAGAUAAUGUUCCCAGGCCUCCACUGACUUGGACCCAUAAAGUCGGAGACGCGAGCUGUGAGCCCGGACCAGUGUCUCUGCCAUGCCAACUGUUUCAUGAUGCUGAAUGAGGUCUCGCCGCCCUCCUGUCCUGCUUCAGUUUGUUUGACAUCCUCAUGAGCUGGGCCUUUGGAUUAAGAGGCUGCUGUUAUGCUUCAGUUUUUCAGAACGUGUGGCACUUCACAUCCUCCACAUUCAUGUGAGGAGAGUUAUCAAAACUGUCCUGAAUUAAUUAAAAUAGAAUAUGCCCCAUGAUCUCUGGCAGCUCAGAUAGGAGAGGGAAGCACAACCAGGUACAGGAAAUCUGCUGUGGACUGGCCUCUAUAUAGCAGAAAAAACCAAAAAACAGAGCUUGCCUGUGGAUGAAGAAAGCUGCCUGUGCCUAAAACAGGAGUGCAGCGUGGAGAGCCAGGGAUACACAGUACCUGAUCAGAAUCAAAUGCAACCCUGCUGUAUGGUGGCAUCCCUGCAGGCUGCACGGGGCAUCACUGUUUUCUUUCACAGGCAGGAGGCAUGUCUGUUCUACUCUGAAAAGGCUCCCUGCCAUGAUCCUGAUGGUGGUCUAAACGCAGCACCAUAUCUGAAACCAAGCAAUGUGCAAGGACACGGACUCCAUUGUGUCAAUUAACUCCUAAAUCUUCAUAGAGCUCAAGACUGUCUGCUUAGCUCAAAUACUGGGGAGCUGAUAAGCAAAAAAAUCCAGUGGAAGGUCAAAGAAGAUGAUUUUGGAGAAGAGGCAUCACCUGCG
This is a long non-coding RNA of Corvus hawaiiensis (hawaiian crow), 1188 nucleotides long. RefSeq lists it as uncharacterized. The record is from RefSeq and is a predicted model, not a curated record. The transcript has 10 exons. NCBI's taxonomy places the organism in Eukaryota, Metazoa, Chordata, Aves, Passeriformes, Corvidae.